This 216-nucleotide small nucleolar RNA is filed under the name Sinocyclocheilus rhinocerous. RNAcentral describes it as "Small nucleolar RNA U3 (ENSSRHG00000006000.1)". It matches the Rfam family "Small nucleolar RNA U3". From Rfam's summary of the family: Small nucleolar RNAs (snoRNAs) are involved in the processing and modification of rRNA in the nucleolus. There are two main classes of snoRNAs: the box C/D class, and the box H/ACA class. Lineage: Eukaryota; Metazoa; Chordata; Actinopteri; Cypriniformes; Cyprinidae. The record is from Rfam by way of RNAcentral.
AAGACUAUACUUACAGGAAUUAUUUCUAUAGUUCUUAACGAGAGAAUGUGUUUUGUAAGUGUUGCGUCUUUCAAACCACGAUAAUGCGCUUUGAUGUUCUUUUCCGAGCGUGAAUCUGAUGUAGAAUAAUGAAUUGUUUUACAAGCUUUACAUCACUGAUGAACGUUUCUUAUUGUGUUUUUGCAAUGAGGAGAAGAAGAGUAUGUUCAGAGUGGU